Small nuclear RNA from Molossus molossus (Pallas's mastiff bat), 104 nucleotides. The record is from RefSeq and is a predicted model, not a curated record. NCBI's taxonomy places the organism in Eukaryota, Metazoa, Chordata, Mammalia, Chiroptera, Molossidae.
GUGCUUGCUUCAGCAGCACAUUUAUUACUAGAAUGAUACAGAGAAGAUUUGCAUGACCCCUGCCCAAGGAUGACAGGCAAAUCUGUGAAAUGUUCCAUAUUAAA